Long non-coding RNA from Penaeus indicus, 333 nucleotides. RefSeq lists it as uncharacterized. The transcript has 2 exons. The record is from RefSeq and is a predicted model, not a curated record. NCBI's taxonomy places the organism in Eukaryota, Metazoa, Arthropoda, Malacostraca, Decapoda, Penaeidae.
UAUACUAUACAUUGUCUUAAACAUACCAUUUCUCUAUUCAUAUCAGGAAACCUAUCAAACGGUAAAAAAAAAGAAAAGAAAAGAAAAGAAAUUCUCAUUUGACUCUUGAAUCGAGACCUCGCUACGUGGCUCUUAUCGGUUCACUCUCUCGCUGCCUCUGCUGACAGAAAGAUCUGAGGUGUGAGUGGGAGCCCUGGAAGAGAGCGGGCGAUGGCGGGGGCAGGAUGAGUGUGAAGGUCUGAUAGUCACCGGUAAAUUGUUAACUCUCAUUCUCUCCCUUUCUUCCGUGGGAUGGUAGAAUCUAAGACGCGGAUUUUUUUUUUUUUUUUUUUU